UGAGGAAUAUUGGUCAAUGGGCGAGAGCCUGAACCAGCCAAGUAGCGUGCAGGAUGACGGCCCUAUGGGUUGUAAACUGCUUUUAUGUGGGGAUAAAGUGCGUGACGUGUCAUGCAUUGCAGGUACCACAUGAAUAAGGACCGGCUAAUUCCGUGCCAGCAGCCGCGGUAAUACGGAAGGUCCGGGCGUUAUCCGGAUCUAUUGGGUUUAAAGGGAGCGUAGGCUGUCUAUUAAGCGUGUUGUGAAAUAUACCGGCUCAACCGGUGGCUUGCAGCGCGAACUGGUCGACUUGAGUAUGCAGGAAGUAGGCGGAAUUCAUGGUGUAGCGGUGAAAUGCUUAGAUAUCAUGACGAACUCCGAUUGCGCAGGCAGCUUACUGUAGCAUAACUGACGCUGAUGCUCGAAAGUGCGGGUAUCAAACAGG
This 424-nucleotide ribosomal RNA is filed under the name Fusobacteriota bacterium. RNAcentral's name for it is "Fusobacteria bacterium partial 16S ribosomal RNA". It matches the Rfam family "Bacterial small subunit ribosomal RNA", at positions 355 to 776 of the family's 1533-position model. Lineage: Bacteria; Fusobacteriati; Fusobacteriota. The record is from RNAcentral.